This 483-nucleotide ribosomal RNA is filed under the name uncultured bacterium. RNAcentral's name for it is "partial 16S ribosomal RNA". It matches the Rfam family "Bacterial small subunit ribosomal RNA", at positions 30 to 507 of the family's 1533-position model. The record is from RNAcentral.
UUGAACGCUGGCGGCAGGCCUAACACAUGCACGUCGAGCGGAUGAAGGGAGCUUGCUCCUGGAUUCAGCGGCGGACGGGUGAGUAAUGCCUAGGAAUCUGCCUGGUAGUGGGGGAUAACGUCCGGAAACGGGCGCUAAUACCGCAUACGUCCUGAGGGAGAAAGUGGGGGAUCUUCGGACCUCACGCUAUCAGAUGAGCCUAGGUCGGAUUAGCUAGUUGGUGGGGUAAAGGCCUACCAAGGCGACGAUCCGUAACUGGUCUGAGAGGAUGAUCAGUCACACUGGAACUGAGACACGGUCCAGACUCCUACGGGAGGCAGCAGUGGGGAAUAUUGGACAAUGGGCGAAAGCCUGAUCCAGCCAUGCCACGUGUGUGAAGAAGGUCUUCGGAUUGUAAAGCACUUUAAGUUGGGAGGAAGGGCAGUAAGUUAAUACCUUGCUGUUUUGACGUUACCAACAGAAUAAGCACCGGCUAACUUCGUG